Molecule: transfer RNA, 78 nt
Filed under: Pseudooctadecabacter jejudonensis
Lineage: Bacteria; Pseudomonadati; Pseudomonadota; Alphaproteobacteria; Rhodobacterales; Paracoccaceae
Description: tRNA-Sec
Source: RNAcentral
UUGCGUGGUGGCAUGGAAAGGCGUGAUGCCUGCGGCCUUCAGCGCCUCAGCGGCUGCGUUCAACUCUUCCCAGGUGGU